Molecule: ribosomal RNA, 407 nt
Filed under: uncultured Chloroflexota bacterium
Lineage: Bacteria; Bacillati; Chloroflexota
Description: bacterial SSU rRNA
Rfam family: Bacterial small subunit ribosomal RNA
Source: RNAcentral
UAAGACGUAGGAGACGAGCGUUAUCCGGAUUUACUGGGCGUAAAGCGCGUGCAGGCGGCUCGUUAAGUUGGAUGUGAAAGCCCCUGGCUAAACUAGGGGAGGUCGUUCAAGACUGGCGGGCUAGAGUGCAGCAGAGGAGAGUGGAAUUCCGAGUGUAGCGGUAAAAUGCACAGAUAUUCGGAAGAACACCAGAGGCGAAGGCGGCUCUCUGGGCUGCAACUCACGCUCAGACGCGAAAGCUAGGGGAGCGAACGGGAUUAGAGACCCCGGUAGUCCUAGCCGUAAACGAUGUGGACUUGGCGUGGGGAGGGUAAAGCCUGUCCGUGCCGAAGCAAACGCGAUAAGUCCACCGCCUGGGGACUACGGCCGCAAGGUUAAAACGCAAAGGAAUUGACGGGGGCCCGCAC